CAUGUGUAAGUAUAAAUAUUUGACUUUGAAACUGCGAAUGGCUCAUUAUAUCAGUUAUAGUUUAUUUGAUGAACAAUACUACUUGGAUAACCGUAGUAAUUCUAGAGCUAAUACAUGAUAAAAUCCUCGACUUUGAAGAGGUGUAUUUAUUAGAAUGAAACCAAGAGACUUCGGUCUAUUUGUGAGUAAUAAUAACUAAUCGUAUCGCAUGCUUAGGUAGCGAUAUGUCUUUCAAGUUUCUGCCCUAUCAGCUUUGGAUGGUAGUGUAUUGGACUACCAUGGCAGUAACGGGUAACGAAGAAUUUGGGUUCGAUUUCGGAGAGGGAGCCUGAGAGAUGGCUACCACAUCCAAGGAAGGCAGCAGGCGCGUAAAUUACCCAAUCCUGACAUAGGGAGGUAGUGACAAUAAAUCACAAUGCGGAACUAUUAGUUUUGCAAUUGGAUUGAGAACAAUGUACAAAUGUUAUCGAUAAACAAUUGGAGGGCAAGUCUGGUGCCAGCAGCCGCGGUAAUUCCAGCUCCAAUAGCGUAUAUUAACGUUGUU
Molecule: ribosomal RNA, 544 nt
Filed under: Blastocystis sp. subtype 4
Lineage: Eukaryota; Bigyra; Opalinata; Blastocystidae
Description: SSU rRNA
Rfam family: Eukaryotic small subunit ribosomal RNA
Source: RNAcentral